This 466-nucleotide ribosomal RNA is filed under the name uncultured bacterium. RNAcentral's name for it is "partial 16S ribosomal RNA". It matches the Rfam family "Bacterial small subunit ribosomal RNA", at positions 339 to 795 of the family's 1533-position model. The record is from RNAcentral.
CUACGGGACGCACCAGUGGGGAAUAUUGGACAAUGGGGGAAACCCUGAUCCAGCAAUGCCGCGUGUGUGAAGAAGGCCUGCGGGUUGUAAAGCACUUUCGGUUGGGAGGACUGCUUCUAGCACUAAUAUUGUUGGAAGUUGACGUUACCUUCAGAAGAAGCACCGGCUAACUCCGUGCCAGCAGCCGCGGUGAAUACGGAGGGUGCAAGCGUUAAUCGGAAUUACUGGGCGUAAAGCGCGCGUAGGCGGCUAGAUCAGUCGGGUGUGAAAGCCCCGGGCUUAACCUGGGAACUGCAUCCGAUACUGUCUAGCUUGAGUACAGGAGAGGAGAGUGGAAUUCCACAUGUAGCGGUGAAAUGCGUAGAUAUGUGGAGGAACACCAAUGGUGAAGGCAGCUCUCUGGCCUGAUACUGACGCUGAGGUGCGAAAGCGUGGGGAGCGAACAGGAUUAGAUACCCCGGUAGUC